AUUUUGUUCUAUCUAAGAUUCCCUGAUUUCUUAUCUCUGACUCACUCUGGGUCCCAUGUUGUGUCUUUUUUUCUCCAAACCCGAACCCCACUAUGUCUCUGUGUCGCACUGACCUGACUCUGUGCCCCUGGUGGUUUCCUCCAUGUUACUUCUGUCUUGGUUCUAGAUAAGCCCCUUGGGGGGCCAGGAGGCCUGGCUGUGAUCCUGGGGAGCUUGGUGUCUCUUGCAGCUGCUGUGGCCCUCUUCCUAUUCUACCGACUCCAGCCCAAGAGUCAGCCAGACAUGGACAGCGACCUAUCAGACCCACCCACUUCCCACAAGGCUUCCCCACUUCCCGACCGGAACGAAGAAAUGAAGAACCACGUGUCAACAAAAGAUAUCCAGGUGUGUUUUCUGGAAGGAAGGUGAGAGGCGGGAGUGGUAGCCUCCGUCCUAAGGCUGAUGGGAUUGGAGAAGGCACCUUCGGGGAACCCGGUGAGGGUUAUGCUAGAGAUGUUCCUGGGAAAGUAGUCCCCUUCGCAGAAUGCUGGCUCAAGACAAUGAGUGGCCAGGGAUCACUGCUGCUCCAUGCAUCACUCCCACCUUCCCCCUCCAUAGGAAAAAUGCAGAUUGUAAAGGUCUCAGGAGCCAGGGAUGGGGGAUGGGGGAAGGAUGUCCACCAUCUCAUCCAUAUACGCUCAACCUCAUCCCAUUCCCCACUUUCCCUCCAAAUUCUCCACCUAGGUCAUGUAGAAUAAAAACAGCCAGAGAUGGGACAGAAACUCCCCCUGCAGAUGCCCUAUUAUAACCUGGCUGGUUCUGACACCUUGAUUUUCUCCUAAGAACUGGUAAGGAGAGGCAGGUCCUAAAGAAAGUCCUCAUCCACCUAACCAGAAUCUACAGGACUAUCCUCCUCCUUGAAGCUGGUCCCUGCCCAAUUUUCUAGAUCUCUCAAGGCAAGAAUGAAAAUAAUUGGGGGUUAGGGUCAGAGAAGACUCAAAGGAUAAGAAAGGGAAGGGUUGGGAGUGUCAUGAAGUAGGUUGGAGAAAAAAUAUGCCUGUCUCUUCCUGUAGGUAAAUAUAUGUUUUAUCAUAUUUCUCCAGUGCUUCUUAACCUUUUUUUUCUCCUGUCAACCUCUUUGGAGUUUGAUGAAGCUUGCAGGACCCUUCUCUGAAUAAUAAUGACCUGUUAUUUAUAUUCAUAAUUGAAAGAAGUGCUAAAUUUCAGUUAGAGGUUAGUGUAAAUAAAGAUGUCAUUUCCCCCCAUCCACAUUCAGUGACUCCCUGAAAUCUAUUCAAAGACCCAGGUUAAGGACCCUCGGUCUAGAGUGUUUGUGUUACUUGCAAGAUUUUGAAUGAGAGCACUUCCCUGAGGAUACCUUGCUAGUUGAGUAUCUUAGGUAGGUAACAUGAAUCUUAUUGUCAACAUCAGUUAAAAACACUGGGUCAAGUGCCAACCUUGCUACUGACCAGCUUUGUGACCUUAAACAAAGCAUUUCCUUCCUAGCCCUUAGAUUUAGAUUCUUUUUUAUAAAAUGAGAGUCAGGGACAGCCAGGUGGUACAAUGGAUAGAGCACCAGUACUGGAAUUAGGAGGACCUGAGUUUGAAUGUGACCUUAGACCCUUAACACUUACUAGUUUUUGGACUUAACCCUGAUUGCCUCACCCAAAAAGAGACAGAGACAGAGACACAGGCACUCAGAGACUGAGAGAAACAGAGAGACAAGAGACAGAAGAGAGAGACAGAGACAGAGCGAGAUAGUGAGAGACAGACAGAGACAGAGUGUGUGUUAGGC
Molecule: long non-coding RNA, 1774 nt
Organism: Sarcophilus harrisii (Tasmanian devil)
Lineage: Eukaryota; Metazoa; Chordata; Mammalia; Dasyuromorphia; Dasyuridae
Source: Ensembl